GACGAACGCUGGCGGCGUGCUUAACACAUGCGAGUCGAACGGAAAGGCCUGCUUUCCCUUGUGGAUUGCGGGUACUCGAGUGGCGAACGGGUGAGUAACACGUGAGUGAUCUGCCCCCAACUUGGGUAUAAGCCUGGGAAACUGGGUCUAAUUCCCGAUAGGACUGCAGGGUGGUGCCUGUGGUGGAAAACGAUUUUCUAGUGGUUGGGGAUGAGCUCGCGGCCUAUCAGCUUGUUGGUGGGGUAAUGGCCUACCAAGGCGGCGACGGGUAGCCGGCCUGAGAGGGUGGACGGCCACAUUGGGACUGAGAUACGGCCCAGACUCCUACGGGAGGCAGCAGUGGGGAAUAAUGCACAAUGGGCGGAAGCCUGAUGCAGCGACGCCGCGUGGGGGAUGACGGCCUUCGGGUUGUAAACUCCUUUCGACCGCGAGGAAGCCACCUGGUUGGAAGGGUGGUGACGGUAGUGGUAGAAGAAGCACCGGCUAACUACGUG
RNAcentral lists this ribosomal RNA (494 nucleotides) under uncultured bacterium. Its description in RNAcentral is "partial 16S ribosomal RNA". It matches the Rfam family "Bacterial small subunit ribosomal RNA", at positions 28 to 507 of the family's 1533-position model. The record is from RNAcentral.